This 233-nucleotide ribosomal RNA is filed under the name uncultured bacterium. Its description in RNAcentral is "partial 16S ribosomal RNA". It matches the Rfam family "Bacterial small subunit ribosomal RNA", at positions 99 to 334 of the family's 1533-position model. The record is from RNAcentral.
CGGACGGGUGAGUAAUGUCUGGGAAACUAGCCUGAUGGAGGGGGGUAACUACUGGAAACGGUAGCUAAUACCGCAUAACGCCGCAAGACCAAAGAGGGGGACCUUCGGGCCUCUUGCCAUCGGAUGUGCCCAGAUGGGAUUAGCUAGUAGGUGGGGUAAAGGCUCACCUAGGCGACGAUCCCUAGCUGGUCUGAGAGGAUGACCAGCCACACUGGAACUGAGACACGGUCCAG